This is a long non-coding RNA of Contarinia nasturtii (swede midge), 92 nucleotides long. RefSeq lists it as uncharacterized. The record is from RefSeq and is a predicted model, not a curated record. NCBI's taxonomy places the organism in Eukaryota, Metazoa, Arthropoda, Insecta, Diptera, Cecidomyiidae. The transcript is spliced from 2 exons.
GUAAAAAGAGUGUUUUCGCUAUGUUGCAGGACAUUUAUGAUGACGAGUACAAAUGGGCACUCGUGAAGAGUUUCGGACUAUUUUGCCUGGGU